UACAGAGGGGGCAAGCGUUGUUCGGAAUUACUGGGCGUAAAGGGCGCGUAGGCGGCCUUCUAAGUCGAACGUGAAAUCCCCGGGCUCAACCCGGGAACUGCGUCCGAUACUGGAAGGCUUGAAUCCGGGAGAGGGAUGCGGAAUUCCAGGUGUAGCGGUGAAAUGCGUAGAUAUCUGGAGGAACACCGGUGGCGAAGGCGGCAUCCUGGACCGGUAUUGACGCUGAGGAGCGAAAGCCAGGGGAGCAAACGGG
This 253-nucleotide ribosomal RNA is filed under the name uncultured bacterium. RNAcentral describes it as "partial 16S ribosomal RNA". It matches the Rfam family "Bacterial small subunit ribosomal RNA", at positions 524 to 776 of the family's 1533-position model. The record is from RNAcentral.